GCGAGUGAAGCGGCAAAAGCUCAAAUUUGAAACCCUCGGGAUUGUAAUUUGAAGAUUUGGAAUUGAGAAAAGCUACCCCAAGUUACUUGGAAUAGUACGUCAUAGAGGGUGACAACCCCGUCUGGCUAACCGUUUCUCAUGUAUUUCCUUAUCAAAGAGUCGAGUUGUUUGGGAAUGCAGCUCAAAGUGGGUGGUAAACUCCAUCUAAAGCUAAAUACUGGUGAGAGACCGAUAGCGAACAAGUACUGUGAAGGAAAGGUGAAAAGAACUUUGAAAAGAGAGUGAAAUAGUAUGUGAAAUUGUUGAUAGGGAAGGGAAUGAGCGGAGAGUGGUUGAGGUUUCAGGUUUCGUUCGCGAUGGCGUACUGCCAACGCCGAGUCAUGCUGAGUGGAGAGAGGGUUAUAAACGGGUUGCUCUUGAGCUUCUCACCUACCCCUCCCCCUCCUUUCCACGACAUAAUCCGCCCAUUCCACCC
RNAcentral lists this ribosomal RNA (475 nucleotides) under [Candida] sp. GJ5M02. Its description in RNAcentral is "eukaryotic LSU rRNA". It matches the Rfam family "Eukaryotic large subunit ribosomal RNA", at positions 89 to 650 of the family's 3401-position model. The record is from RNAcentral. Lineage: Eukaryota; Fungi; Ascomycota; Saccharomycetes; Saccharomycetales.